Non-coding RNA from Trametes pubescens, 99 nucleotides. The record is from the annotation of a GenBank genome assembly. Lineage: Eukaryota; Fungi; Basidiomycota; Agaricomycetes; Polyporales; Polyporaceae.
UCCCUCUUAGCUCAGUUGGUAGAGCGCGUCACUAGUAAUAUCGCAUGAUCGUGAUGUUAGUUAAUGACGAGGUCAGUCGUUCAAAUCGGCUAGCGGGAA